This 62-nucleotide transfer RNA is filed under the name Hydraena gracilis. Its description in RNAcentral is "tRNA-Cys". Lineage: Eukaryota; Metazoa; Arthropoda; Insecta; Coleoptera; Hydraenidae. The record is from RNAcentral.
GGUCUUAUAUUCAACAAUGAUUUUAAAUUGCAAAUUUAAAGGCGGGAUUUUUCCUAAGGCUU